UACCGACGGUGAAGAUCUGAUGGUAACUUACUACACGAGCUACCGACAGUAAGACUAUUGUUUGACCUUAUUAAGCAUUUUCUAAUAGCCCAUAAGAAAAUAAAGAAAAAUAACGCAUCACGUAAGCGUAAUUGUAGUCUCUUAAUACGUACUAUAUAAAGAAAUAUUAUACAAAAAGAAUAUAGCAGCGAUGAAAGUAAAUGAUCAAAGUGUAAACCUUUUAGAAGUUAUCUGCAAUUCAGGAUGAAAAUAGUAAAAUUAGUUAAAUUACUUUGCGACUCUGUUAUGUUCUAACUCAACAAUGACAACAUUUUGAUUUGUAUUUGACAAUACCGAUGAAUUUCAAUCGUUCUCUUGACCUAGUUAUUAUACCAGACAAUAGUGAAGUAAAUAUCUAAAUUCUGUUUCUUUAAAUUCAUUUAACUAGUGGAAUAUAUAUAUAUAUAUUAUUUUGUUUUUUAAUUUAAAUCAUGAUUCCUUUCUUCUCUUUUGAAAUUUGUUACAUUUCAUAUAUAGAGUUUUCGUCUACAUUAUUUACUUAAGUACUCUGCUCUACAAUCUCAAUUCCAAUCGAAUACCAUUACUCAGCAAAGAAGAAAACUCCAUUACAGCAUGGGUUCAAGCGAUAGAAGUGUCAUUUUCCUGAAACUAACGAUAUGAAGAUUUAUUUUAACAAUUUCCUCCUUCGAAGAGAUUUAUUGUGAAAUAUUAAUUGAAUCAAAUGCACAGCUUCAAUGAUAAGAUAUAAUUAUAGAUGGAACCUGUUAGAAGAUAAUUUCAAUAAUCUAACAUAAAUAGAAAUGGAAUAUUAUAUUACUCUUAAGAAAUAUUUAGUCAUAGCAUUAAUAUACUUAUUCUUUUAGCAGAGGUUUCAAAUCCUUUCCCAGGAAAAAAGAGCGCAUUAUUUCUAACAUCGAUAAGUAGGAUCAGAGAAUACAAUCAUUAUAAAAGGUUGACGGAGAUUCUUUUUAACUUUAGUUACACUGCAAAGAAACCAGACAUAUAAAUAUCAUAUCUCAAAGUCAAAAAUGAAUGCAUCCUAAUUACUGCAAAGUUAAGUAACAUAAGUAGGGAAAACAUGUUAAAUAAGCAAUUCUUAACGUGUACAAAAUGUAUUGCCAAGCAUUUCACUCGGUAAUUGAAAACAUUAUUAUGCAUUGACUGACAAUAAAUAAUGCAAGAAAGUCUAUUCUUUUUAUGUAAGAAAUUGUCAAAGCAACAAUGUCCUUGAUAAAAAACAUUGAAAUAAUGUCUUAUUUGUGCGAUAAUAGAGAAUAUGAGAAUAAAAUUAACAGACAAUUAUACUCUACUGGGCGUUAAAGUUUUUCAUGUAUUUUUUAAGAUGUAACUCUAGUUUUGUCUUCAUUUCUAAUAAAACUCAUUUAUUAUAUUGAA
RNAcentral lists this long non-coding RNA (1395 nucleotides) under Polistes fuscatus (common paper wasp). RNAcentral describes it as "uncharacterized LOC122522610, transcript variant X2". The record is from RNAcentral. Lineage: Eukaryota; Metazoa; Arthropoda; Insecta; Hymenoptera; Vespidae.